This 2522-nucleotide long non-coding RNA is filed under the name Ananas comosus (pineapple). RNAcentral describes it as "long non-coding RNA (ACOM_LNC001527)". Lineage: Eukaryota; Viridiplantae; Streptophyta; Magnoliopsida; Poales; Bromeliaceae. The record is from RNAcentral.
CCAUAAACCAUGCAUUAAUUAUAAGGAAAAAAAAACUUCAAAUACCACCCAUGUGAUUUCGUACUUUCUCACUUUCGUAUCAUGUAAUUUAAAGUAUAUCAAUUUAGUACCAUGUGAUUUUAUUUUCUCUUUUUAUUAUCCAUUCCACUAAUUUUUUUCGUUAAAUCAGUGACAAAGUUGAACAUAAAGGAUAAUAAAGUGAAUAUUCGAUAAAUUUAGGUGCAAUAUCUGAAGUUUUUUGUAUAUAAUUUAGCGAAAUAUUAACGGAGUAACUGACGAAAAGAGAAAAACUUAAUACACUGUAAACUAUGUGGUACUAAAGUGACAAAAUGCGAAAUCAGAGAGGUGGUAUUUGAAGUUCACCCUUAAUUGAAGUAUCUUGUUAUCUACACUAUAAUUUAAUAAAAAUAAAAGAAAAAAUGAGACACCAAUAGUAUAGGGGGCUCUCAUCAAGUAAUUUAUGAUGCAUAUGCACAAAAUACAUAAAUAAAAAAUAAAAAAUUGCGCAAUUUAAAAAUUUGUUCAGUUUACAAAUUUAAAUGAAUCAAGGAUCAUAAACAUUAACAAUAUAUAUAUAUAUUUUUUUGGUGGUCCUGAUUUAUUUAUUCUUCUUAAAUCAUAAUUAGUAUAUUUAUUUAUAUAUUAAUUAAUCAUUAAGUACGGUUCACAAUAAUUAAGCUAACAUUUGUAUCAUUAGGCCUAUCUCUCGAUAGAAGGGGAGCAUGCUCUCGGUGGUACCCGGACGGUGAAGAUUCAAAUAGGGGGGGUGAUGAACGGUUAAGAUGGGUGGUUUUCCGAAUGACGUGGUGCACGAGGUUCGUAGUAUAUUUGUACCUUUCUCUCUCUCGUAUUUAUGAUUUUGAAUUCGUAUCUGUCUCCGUGGACCACGCUCUCGGCUUUUUGUCGAUUCGCGAGGAGAGAUUCCCUCACUCUGUGCACCAAAACCCUAACCCUAGAUUCCCUUUCGUCGUCCUCCUCCUCCUCCUCGUUGCUCCAAAACCCUAACGCUAACCCAAGCCCUAGCCCUAGCCCUAGAUCCUUGAUGAGCCCUAUCUGGAGCCAUGCACAAGCUCUGGCGCGGAAGCUCGAGCCUCGGCAACCCCGCCGCCGCGUGGAUUGACGCGAAGGUCUCGCUCCUCCUCNCAUGUACAUUUUGCAUAUAUAUCAAUUUUCAAAGAUAAAUACAUAUUUAUUAUUUGAUGUGCUAAAUUAUUAAUUGUAGAUUUUUUUUUUUUUUUGUAGCUUGAGCUCAUCAAAAUUUAACUUAAUUAUCAAAUUCUAAGUAAAGCAUUCAAAAUUUAGCUUGAUUCGCCGCGAUCAACAUAUUGCAAAUGAAUACAAAUAGUAAUUAAAGAAAAUAAAAUUUGAGCUUGAUUGUGCUCAAAAUUACAAGAUAUUAAUUAUUUUCUCUUUGUUUUAAUGUAACAUAAAUUCUCCAUUUUGGAAAUUAAAAAAAAAAUUGCAAAGCAUAAAUAGUGCUUGGCCCAUGGGUCCUCAUUUUAAACUAAAAAUUUUAUGGUGGGCUUGUUAGGAAAUUGCCUAAAAUAUAUGCAUAAAAUGUACUAUUUCCAUAUGAAUAUUCUUAUACAUGGAAAUAUAAAAAUAUUUAAAAAUAAGAAUCCAACUAAUUUUUAAUUUAAUAUGCCGUUAAUCGAGUAAACUCCUCGUAUUUAUAAAACCCGAAAAUCCGAACUCGAAACAAUUAUUUUUCUUUACAAUAUUUCAAAACAUAUUAUAUUAAGUCUAAAUUUCAAAAUACAAAUUCAAAUAUAACAUCAAACAUUUCUAUAUAUAUUAUAUAUAAUGUAAAAUAAUUUUAGGUUCAGAUCGUGUUCGGGUUCGGGUUGGUGUACAUUCAAAAUCUAUACCGGAAUUCAAAUCCGUCGGGUUUUCGUUUUUGAUAUCCACAUCCGAAGCUAUAUCUGUUUAGUAUCAAGUAAAUCCACUCUGUUUGGAUUCGGAUUAGGAUAAAAUUUUGGGUAUCUGUAUCGAUUGACAUCCCUACUCAUGGGCUGAACGUUCAGGGACUAGCAGUGCAAUUAACCCCCGAAAAAUUUAUAUUUGUAUUAAUAGGAGGCCCAUGUACGAAUAUCGCAUUUCGGCCCAUGGGCCGUGUCCGUAAUGUCUUUAUUAAGACCCAAAGAAAAAGAAAUUCUACACCAUAAACUAUGCAUUAAUUCAAAUACCACCCCUAUGGUUUCGCACUUUCUCACUUCAGUAUCAUGUAAUUUAAAGUAUAUCAAUUUAGUACCAUGUGAUUUUAUUUUUCUCUUUUUAUUAUCCAUUCUACUAAUUUUUUUGGUUACAUCAGUGACAAACUUGAAAUUAAAGGAUACUAAAGUGAUAUUCGAUAAAUUUAGGUGCAAUAUCUGAAGUUUUUUGUAUAUAAUUUAGCAAAAUAUUAACGGAGUAACUGACGAAAAGAGAAAAACUUAAUACACUGUAAAUUAUGUGGUACUAAAGUGACAAAAUGCGAAAUCAGAGAGGUGGUAUUUGAAGUUCACCCUUAAUUGAAGUAUCUU